RNAcentral lists this ribosomal RNA (253 nucleotides) under uncultured bacterium. RNAcentral describes it as "partial 16S ribosomal RNA". It matches the Rfam family "Bacterial small subunit ribosomal RNA", at positions 524 to 776 of the family's 1533-position model. The record is from RNAcentral.
UACAGAGGUCCCAAGCGUUGUUCGGAUUUACUGGGCGUAAAGAGCGCGCAGGCGGUCGAUCAAGUCGAGUGUGAAAGCCCCCGGCUCAACUGGGGAGGGUCAUUCGAUACUGAUCGACUCGAAGGCAGGAGAGGGUAGUGGAAUUCCCGGUGUAGUGGUGAAAUGCGUAGAUAUCGGGAGGAACACCAGUGGCGAAGGCGACUACCUGGCCUGUUCUUGACGCUGAGGCGCGAAAGCUAGGGGAGCAAACGGG